RNAcentral lists this ribosomal RNA (93 nucleotides) under Leptolyngbyaceae cyanobacterium RM1_406_9. RNAcentral describes it as "partial 16S ribosomal RNA". It matches the Rfam family "Bacterial small subunit ribosomal RNA", at positions 1 to 101 of the family's 1533-position model. Lineage: Bacteria; Bacillati; Cyanobacteriota; Cyanophyceae; Leptolyngbyales; Leptolyngbyaceae. The record is from RNAcentral. RNAcentral also lists the same sequence under 1 other name.
UUUACAAUGGAGAGUUUGAUCCUGGCUCAGGAUGAACGCUGGCGGUAUGCUUAACACAUGCAAGUCGAACGGGCUCUUCGGAGCUAGUGGCGG